This 253-nucleotide ribosomal RNA is filed under the name uncultured bacterium. Its description in RNAcentral is "partial 16S ribosomal RNA". It matches the Rfam family "Bacterial small subunit ribosomal RNA", at positions 524 to 776 of the family's 1533-position model. The record is from RNAcentral.
UACGUAGGGUGCAAGCGUUGUCCGGAAUUAUUGGGCGUAAAGAGCUCGUAGGCGGUUUGUCGCGUCGAAUGUGAAAACCCGGGGCUCAACCCCGGGCCUGCAUUCGAUACGGGCAGACUAGAGUUCGGUAGGGGAGUCUGGAAUUCCUGGUGUAGCGGUGAAAUGCGCAGAUAUCAGGAGGAACACCUGUGGCGAAGGCGGGACUCUGGGCCGAUACUGACGCUGAGGAGCGAAAGCGUGGGGAGCAAACAGG